RNAcentral lists this long non-coding RNA (1122 nucleotides) under Bos grunniens (domestic yak). RNAcentral describes it as "lncRNA (ENSBGRG00000023038.1)". Lineage: Eukaryota; Metazoa; Chordata; Mammalia; Artiodactyla; Bovidae. The record is from RNAcentral.
ACAGAGGCCGUAAGAAGAGGAAGCCUGAAGCCUCCACUUAAAACUCAACCAGAAGCCAUGCAGCAGUCCUCACAAACGGUCAUACAUCUAACACUUUACAACAUGAGUUUAACCAGAAAGAGAAAAACUAGUGGAUUACUUACAUACAACUGCUAACAAGAGAAAACUGGGCCUCUUCCCACCGAUUAAUUUGGCGUCAGUUUUAAAAGGAGCUGUUUUAAUAAGAUUUAAAAAAACAUUUUCUAACACAUCAGUAUGUUGUGAAAACUGUCAUUUCAUUUGCAGCUAUCAGAAAACUUUUCCAAAGUCUUAAAAAUUGAUGUAACUAAUUUGUCUUCCAUAUUGUGUCAAAUAUUGCUUAUGUGGCAUUUCUUUUUUAAACAUCAUUUUUAAAGGGUAAGCUUAUUGUUUAAAACAUUAAAGCAGAAAACUAUUUAAGAGAACUAGUAAAAAAAAAAUCCCACACUCUCACUCCCAGAUUCUUUUCUAGCCGCCCUCUUGCCCCAUUUUAAUGCUAGACAGGACUUCAAGGGAAAUGGUGGACUGUAGGAUCUUGGGAGGGAGGAGAGGAGGUGAAAUUGGAAGCAGGAGAAAGAGAUGAUUCCCCAAAGAAGGAGAAAUUGUCUAUCCACCCCGAGAGGCUGAUUCUCCCUGGUAACCCGAGAAAGACGAAUAGAAACUGCAGGAAGAAGAUACCAGUUUUAUUGUCUCUGAUUGGCAAAUAUGAAAAAAAAGAUUGACAGUAUCAAAUGGAGGGAACGCAGGGGGCGGGCUGCAGUGUUAAAUGGGAGGAGUAACCGAGGACUCGAGCUCAUUGAUGACGCGACCCUCACGUGACCAGGAGUCGACGUGUGCAGAAGUCCUUAUAGUCCAGGGCCUGUUUCCCAGGAGCAGCUCCCUAUAGCUGGAGAAGGAGAAAAGUGCCCCGGAUCCUUUCAGGACUCUUGGUCUUUGGGGAGCGACCCAAAUCGACUGAGGGAAGAGGGAGGAAAAUUCCCUGGAUCCCUGCAGGUCAGUGUAAAGGUGCAGUUGCCUCCUGUUCCUGGGGGUGGGGUGUGAGUGCGGAUGACACCGAAGCCCAUCCUGGGGUCACUGCAGCCUCCCCAUCCGGAUGAAGCGCCA